Molecule: ribosomal RNA, 123 nt
Organism: Gorilla gorilla gorilla (western lowland gorilla)
Lineage: Eukaryota; Metazoa; Chordata; Mammalia; Primates; Hominidae
Source: Ensembl
CCAUUUGGUCAGCCCCUGGGCACCAUAGCAAACUCAGGGUGCCCCAGCCGGGAAGGUAAGCAGGGUCGGUCUUGGCUGGGACUUGGAUGGGGGACCACCUGGGGAGACCAAGUGCUGGAGGCU